RNAcentral lists this transfer RNA (83 nucleotides) under Planctomycetaceae bacterium. Its description in RNAcentral is "tRNA-Leu". It matches the Rfam family "tRNA". Rfam says of the family: Transfer RNA (tRNA) molecules are approximately 80 nucleotides in length. Lineage: Bacteria; Pseudomonadati; Planctomycetota; Planctomycetia; Planctomycetales; Planctomycetaceae. The record is from RNAcentral.
GCCGGACUGGCGGAAUGGCAGACGCAGGGGAUUCAAAAUCCCCCGCCCGCAAGGGUGUCCCGGUUCAAGUCCGGGGUCCGGUA